UGCAAGUCGAACGAGAGCGACCGGUGCUUGCACUGGUCAAUCUAGUGGCGAACGGGUGAGUAACACGUGGGUAACCUGCCCAUCAGAGGGGGAAAACAUUCGGAAACGGAUGCUAAAACCGCAUAGGUCCUUUAACCGCAUAGUUGAAGGAGGAAAAGAGGCGCAAGCUUCUGCUGAUGGAUGGACCCGCGGUGCAUUAGCUAGUUGGUGAGGUAACGGCUCACCAAGGCCGUGAUGCAUAGCCGACCUGAGAGGGUGAUCGGCCACAUUGGGACUGAGACACGGCCCAAACUCCUACGGGAGGCAGCAGUAGGGAAUCUUCCGCAAUGGACGCAAGUCUGACGGAGCAACGCCGCGUGAGUGAAGAAGGUUUUCGGAUCGUAAAACUCUGUUGUUAGAGAAGAACAAGUGCUAGAGUAACUGUUAGCGCCUUGACGGUAUCUAACCAGAAAGCCACGGCUAACUACGUGCCAGCAGCCGCGGUAAUACGUAGGUGGCAAGCGUUGUCCGGAUUUAUUGGGCGUAAAGCGAGCGCAGGCGGUUCCUUAAGUCUGAUGUGAAAGCCCCCGGCUCAACCGGGGAGGGUCAUUGGAAACUGGGGAACUUGAGUGCAGAAGAGGAGAGUGGAAUUCCAUGUGUAGCGGUGAAAUGCGUAGAUAUAUGGAGGAACACCAGUGGCGAAGGCGAC
Molecule: ribosomal RNA, 688 nt
Filed under: uncultured Bacilli bacterium
Lineage: Bacteria; Bacillati; Bacillota; Bacilli
Description: bacterial SSU rRNA
Rfam family: Bacterial small subunit ribosomal RNA
Source: RNAcentral